UACGUAGGGUGCAAGCGUUAAUCGGAAUUUACUGGGCGUAAAGCGUGCGCAGGCGGUCUGUUAAGACCGAUGUGAAAUCCCCGGGCUUAACCUGGAACUGCAUUGGUGACUGCAUUGCUGGAGUAUGGCAGAGGGGGUGGAAUUCCACGUGUAGCAGUGAAAUGCGUAGAGAAUGUGGAGGAACACCGAUGGCGAAGGCAGCCCCUGGGC
Molecule: ribosomal RNA, 210 nt
Filed under: uncultured bacterium
Lineage: Bacteria
Description: partial 16S ribosomal RNA
Rfam family: Bacterial small subunit ribosomal RNA
Source: RNAcentral